RNAcentral lists this non-coding RNA (172 nucleotides) under Halanaerobium saccharolyticum. Lineage: Bacteria; Bacillati; Bacillota; Clostridia; Halanaerobiales; Halanaerobiaceae. The record is from RNAcentral.
UCCAUCGUGAGAUGGAAUCUGAAGGAAGUUGGAGGCAAAGCUUCGGUCUGAGGAAUACGAACUGUAUAGAAGGCACAAUUCUGGGGAUGAGUUUGCUUAACAAAACAAAGCCCAAAACUAUUCAAGACAGGAAGUGUAAAUACAGCGGAUAGAUGAAGUGAAAGUAAAUAUU